CACGUAAUGGUGGGCACUCUAAGGAGACUGCCGGUGACAAACCGGAGGAAGGUGGGGAUGACGUCAAGUCAUCAUGGCCCUUACGGCCUGGGCUACACACGUGCUACAAUGGUCGGUACAGAGGGUUGCCAAGCCGCGAGGUGGAGCUAAUCCCAUAAAACCGAUCGUAGUCCGGAUCGCAGUCUGCAACUCGACUGCGUGAAGUCGGAAUCGCUAGUAAUCGCGAAUCAGAAUGUCGCGGUGAAUACGUUCCCGGGCCUUGUACACACCGCCCGUCACACCAUGGGAGUGGGUUGCACCAGAAGUAGCUAGUCUAACCUUCGGGAG
Molecule: ribosomal RNA, 327 nt
Filed under: Pseudomonas rhodesiae
Lineage: Bacteria; Pseudomonadati; Pseudomonadota; Gammaproteobacteria; Pseudomonadales; Pseudomonadaceae
Description: bacterial SSU rRNA
Rfam family: Bacterial small subunit ribosomal RNA
Source: RNAcentral